UAGUGGCGAACGGGUGAGUAACACGUGGGCAAUCUGCCCUUCACUCUGGGACAAGCCCUGGAAACGGGGUCUAAUACCGGAUAACACUCCUGCCUGCAUGGGUGGGGGUUAAAAGCUCCGGCGGUGAAGGAUGAGCCCGCGGCCUAUCAGCUUGUUGGUGAGGUAGUGGCUCACCAAGGCGACGACGGGUAGCCGGCCUGAGAGGGCGACCGGCCACACUGGGACUGAGACACGGCCCAGACUCCUACGGGAGGCAGCAGUGGGGAAUAUUGCACAAUGGGCGAAAGCCUGAUGCAGCGACGCCGCGUGAGGGAUGACGGCCUUCGGGUUGUAAACCUCUUUCAGCAGGGAAGAAGCGAAAGUGACGGUACCUGCAGAAGAAGCGCCGGCUAACUACGUGCCAGCAGCCGCGGUAAUACGUAGGGCGCAAGCGUUGUCCGGAAUUAUUGGGCGUAAAGAGCUCGUAGGCGGCUUGUCACGUCGGUUGUGAAAGCCCGGGGCUUAACCCCGGGUCUGCAGUCGA
This 523-nucleotide ribosomal RNA is filed under the name Streptomyces sp. 310A05. RNAcentral's name for it is "bacterial SSU rRNA". It matches the Rfam family "Bacterial small subunit ribosomal RNA", at positions 93 to 630 of the family's 1533-position model. Lineage: Bacteria; Bacillati; Actinomycetota; Actinomycetes; Kitasatosporales; Streptomycetaceae. The record is from RNAcentral.